RNAcentral lists this ribosomal RNA (1243 nucleotides) under metagenome. RNAcentral's name for it is "bacterial LSU rRNA". It matches the Rfam family "Bacterial large subunit ribosomal RNA", at positions 1564 to 2816 of the family's 2925-position model. The record is from RNAcentral.
UGAAUACGAGACGCUAAGGCGUCGAAGUAGUGUAUAUCAGACUUCCAAGAAAAGCUUGCACUGUCAUAGAUAAAAAAUGCCUGUACCAUAACCGACACAGGUGGGUAGGUAGAGUAUACUAAGGGGCGCGAGAUAACUCUCUCUAAGGAACUCGGCAAAAUAACUCCGUAACUUCGGGAGAAGGAGUGCCUUAUUUAUAAGGUUGCAAUAACAAGAUCCAAGCAACUGUUUAACAAAAACACAGGUCUCCGCUAAGUCGUAAGACGAUGUAUGGGGGCUGACGCCUGCCCAGUGCCAGAAGGUUAAAGAAGUUGGUUAGCAAUUGCGAAGCUGAUAACUGAAGCCCUGGUGAACGGCGGCCGUAACGAUAACGGUCCUAAGGUAGCGAAAUUCCUUGUCGGGUAAGUUCCGACCCGCACGAAAGGCGUAAUGAUUUGGAUACUGUCUCGGAGAGGGGCUCGGUGAAAUAGACUUGUCUGUGAAGAUGCGGACUACCUGCACCAGGACAGAAAGACCCUAUGAAGCUUUACUGUAACUUGAAAUUGAAAUUGGACUUUAUUCGCGCAGCAUAGGUGGGAGGCGUUGAUUAUAAUCUUGCGGGAUUAUUGGAGCCAUCAGUGAGAUACCACUCUUGUAAUGUUAGAUUUCUAACUUUGAAUCAUUAUCUGGUCAAAGAACAGUUUCAGGCGGGCAGUUUGACUGGGGCGGUCGCCUCCUAAAUGGUAACGGAGGCGUACAAAGGUUUCCUCUGAACGGUUAGAAAUCGUAUCUAGAGUGUAAAGGCAUAAGGAAGCUUGACUGUGAGACCUACAAGUCGAGCAGGGACGAAAGUCGGUCUUAGUGAUCUGACGGUACUGAGUGGAAAGGCCGUCACUCAACGGAUAAAAGUUACUCUAAGGAUAACAGGCUGAUCUCCCCCAAGAGUUCACAUCGACGGGGAGGUUAGGCACCUCGAUGUCGGCUCAUCGCAUCCUGGGGCGGUAGUACGUCCCAAGGGUUGGGCUGUUCGCCCAUGAAAGCGGUACGCGAGCUGGGUUCAGAACGUCGUGAGACAGUUCGGUCCAUAUCCGGUGUAGGCGUUAGAAUAUUGAGAGGAGCCUUCUUUAGUACGAGAGGACCGAGAAGGACAUACCUCUGGUGUACCAGUUAUCGUGCCAACGGUAAACGCUGGGUAGCUAUGUAUGGAGUGGAUAACCGCUGAAAGCAUCUAAGUGGGAAGCCCACCUCAAGAUAAGUAUUCUCC